This 2389-nucleotide long non-coding RNA is filed under the name Solanum tuberosum (potato). Its description in RNAcentral is "long non-coding RNA (STUB_LNC007675)". The record is from RNAcentral. Lineage: Eukaryota; Viridiplantae; Streptophyta; Magnoliopsida; Solanales; Solanaceae.
AGAACCGAAGGUUUAACUUAAUUGAAAAUAUAAAAUUUUGACCAAUAUAUUUGAUUAAUAAAAUAAAUGAACACAAAACUAUGAAAUGUAUUAGAAUUAAACCAAACAAAGAAAAUAACUCAUCUUUUGGGGAAUCUAAUUAAGCGAAUUAACAAUUCUAAAGUUAGAGUUAAUGAUAAGAAAAACAAACAAAAGACAAUAAAAUAAUUUAAACGUAAAGGAGAAUUGAAUUUGGGCCCUUUUUGGGCCAAAUUCGCUGGUACUAUUGGGCUUAAUCCAAUUCUCGUUUUUGUAUACACCUGAUGUAUAUCAGUGUAUACCAGCGUGUGUAUAGGCUCUUUUCAUGUAUCUCUUGCUUCUGAACACCUGUAUUUCGCCUCAGUCCUGUAUUCCCACAUUUCCGACCUGUAUAUUGAUGUAUAAUGAAUGUAUACAGUGUAUAAUGAAUGUAUAUUGUCCAUCUUAGGACUUUUGGAGGCCUGUAUUUCGACUACAGCCUUGUACUCUUGUCCAUCCGUUUUCAAAACUCGAACAUGAUGACUGCCGACUCGAAAUGCAAGGAGUUAAUAUAGGAGUCCACAAUGUUUCAUUCAAGGGGAAAAAAAGAACAAGAAUUAGCAGAAGGGGAAUGUAGAAACCAAAUUUGAUUCAACUAAAAUAAGAAUAUCAUAGCAUUUACAGCUAGCAAAGAGGCUAUUCACAGUAUGGUCAAAACUCAAUAUAAUGUUAACAUUCUAACCAUGGUACAACACGACUUUGACUAAAUCAAAAACAGAUUCUACAAAGAACUAGAGGCAAAUAAAAUUAAUACGGCCAUAAUACUUAGAUUAUCCUAAACUUACACUAAUCUUGGAAGGCAUCAAGUGGAACGUUAGUACAAUCAUUUUUAUUUAGUCAAUUCUCAACUUUAUGGUCACAACUUUAAUAAACUUUAAACAAAUAAACAAUAGAUCAAUUAUAAGGAAAGGAGAAGACAAAACCAGUAGUUAUCAAAGUAUAACAGAAGCAAAUAUAAACUACUUUGAUAAUUGUUGAAGUGAAUCCCACGACCUCCUAAUUACCGACACCGUAAUCUAUAUGAGUUUAAACAACAAGGCUAACAAGAUAAGAAGAUUACUAAUAAGAAACAAAAAAUGAUCCAUUACAUUUUUUGCUUAAGCAUUUUCGACUAAAACUUAGACUAAAUAGACACAUAAAUUCAAUUUAAACAGGACAUGCUACACGAAUGAGAUAAUAAAUCCCAAGCAAUUUGAGAGAAAUGGAAGAAAGGGACAUUCAAAACCAACUUGAGUACGGAUAACAAGAUUCAAUUUUAGAGUGAUUUACGGGUGAAAAUGAUAAGGACGUACAACUGAGGAACUAACUAACACAAUAAGACAUUUUAAUAAGGAGAGUUUAGCACAAGAAAGAAAAACAAAAUGCUCCAGCGGGUUGGAAAUGACCAGCUUAUUGAUUCAAGUUAAUUCGAAUUACCUGAUAACAAAGGAUACGUAACCGACAUUAUUAAGUAAGAGAUUUAGAGGUGCAACAACCAUCAGGUGGAUUAUGGAACUUAGUCUUAAAGGCAACUCACACGACUUAUACUAGUUAGAAAAACAAGAAGAAAAUAAAACGAAACCGACUCAACGCCAUACGGGACUAGUAACUUCGAGCAAAACAAAUCAAAAGAACAGUUGAAUCGACAAACAAGCUUAUAUCAAAGUUUUGCAACAAAUAGUAAGUCACAACACCCCCAAAAUACCAACAUCUAAACACUACACAAUGAUCAAAAGCAAAUCGUCCUCACAUUAGGCACAAAAGAGGCGUGAAUCAAAAAUGAGUAUUACCUUUUAUGGGGCAAAGAACUGGACGACAACGAGCUUGAGAGCAGCGAUUCUUUUACCACGAACUUCGAAUAGGACCGGCAAACUAAGAAAAUCCAAGCGUCAAUCCUCUCGUAACUUAGAUUCAAAAAGCUAGAUGUAAAGUUUUCAAGUGUAUGAGUGAUUAUUGUCUAAGAACUAAACUCUAAAAAACUUAUUUAUCAUGUAUGACCUCAAGAUCCAAAAAAAUUUCCUCCCCUGCCUCAUUUUUAAUCACUGAGGGAGAGAACUAUUUAUAGGGAAAAAAAGGAGCAAUUUUGGGGGGAAGUCCGUUGGAAAUAUCCAAAUAAAAUUUGAAUUUCUCCUGCUAUUUUCGAAGCAAUAGUAAAGGGGAUGGGAAAAAGCUGAAUCCCGUGAAAAGAGGGAGGAGGGGGCGACGAAGGUGAUGGAUUAGGUUGCUAGGGUAUGGGUUCUGCAGGGUAGUUGGAUGAGAUUUUUGCAGCGUGAUUUCUGGGUUGCGUGAUUUGGUUCGCUGGCCGAGUUUCUGGGUUUCUGCGUUUGCGCGUGAAGUAGAAGACAUAGGGGUG